AUGAACGCUGGCGGCGUGCCUAAUACAUGCAAGUCGAGCGAACAGACGAGGAGCUUGCUCCUUUGACGUUAGCGGCGGACGGGUGAGUAACACGUAGGUAACCUACCUAUAAGACUGGGAUAACUUCGGGAAACCGGAGCUAAUACCGGAUAAUAUUUCGAACCGCAUGGUUCGAUAGUGAAAGAUGGCUUUGCUAUCACUUAUAGAUGGACCUGCGCCGUAUUAGCUAGUUGGUAAGGUAACGGCUUACCAAGGCAACGAUACGUAGCCGACCUGAGAGGGUGAUCGGCCACACUGGAACUGAGACACGGUCCAGACUCCUACGGGAGGCAGCAGUAGGGAAUCUUCCGCAAAGGGCGAAAGCCUGACGGAGCAACGCCGCGUGAGUGAUGAAGGUCUUCGGAUCGUAAAACUCUGUUAUUAGGGAAGAACAAACGUGUAAGUAACUGUGCACGUCUUGACGGUACCUAAUCAGAAAGCCACGGCUAACUACGUG
Molecule: ribosomal RNA, 496 nt
Filed under: uncultured bacterium
Lineage: Bacteria
Description: partial 16S ribosomal RNA
Rfam family: Bacterial small subunit ribosomal RNA
Source: RNAcentral